This 1053-nucleotide ribosomal RNA is filed under the name Salmonella enterica. Its description in RNAcentral is "bacterial SSU rRNA". It matches the Rfam family "Bacterial small subunit ribosomal RNA", at positions 488 to 1533 of the family's 1533-position model. The record is from RNAcentral. Lineage: Bacteria; Pseudomonadati; Pseudomonadota; Gammaproteobacteria; Enterobacterales; Enterobacteriaceae.
AGCCACGGCUAACUACGUGCCAGCAGCCGCGGUAAUACGUAGGUGGCAAGCGUUGUCCGGAUUUAUUGGGCGUAAAGCGAGCGCAGGCGGUUUCUUAAGUCUGAUGUGAAAGCCCCCGGCUCAACCGGGGAGGGUCAUUGGAAACUGGGAGACUUGAGUGCAGAAGAGGAGAGUGGAAUUCCAUGUGUAGCGGUGAAAUGCGUAGAUAUAUGGAGGAACACCAGUGGCGAAGGCGGCUCUCUGGUCUGUAACUGACGCUGAGGCUCGAAAGCGUGGGGAGCGAACAGGAUUAGAUACCCUGGUAGUCCACGCCGUAAACGAUGAGUGCUAAGUGUUGGAGGGUUUCCGCCCUUCAGUGCUGCAGCAAACGCAUUAAGCACUCCGCCUGGGGAGUACGACCGCAAGGUUGAAACUCAAAGGAAUUGACGGGGGCCCGCACAAGCGGUGGAGCAUGUGGUUUAAUUCGAAGCAACGCGAAGAACCUUACCAGGUCUUGACAUCCUUUGACCACUCUAGAGAUAGAGCUUCCCCUUCGGGGGCAAAGUGACAGGUGGUGCAUGGUUGUCGUCAGCUCGUGUCGUGAGAUGUUGGGUUAAGUCCCGCAACGAGCGCAACCCUUAUUGUUAGUUGCCAUCAUUUAGUUGGGCACUCUAGCGAGACUGCCGGUGACAAACCGGAGGAAGGUGGGGAUGACGUCAAAUCAUCAUGCCCCUUAUGACCUGGGCUACACACGUGCUACAAUGGGAAGUACAACGAGUUGCGAAGUCGCGAGGCUAAGCUAAUCUCUUAAAGCUUCUCUCAGUUCGGAUUGUAGGCUGCAACUCGCCUACAUGAAGCCGGAAUCGCUAGUAAUCGCGGAUCAGCACGCCGCGGUGAAUACGUUCCCGGGCCUUGUACACACCGCCCGUCACACCACGAGAGUUUGUAACACCCGAAGUCGGUGAGGUAACCUUUUUGGAGCCAGCCGCCUAAGGUGGGAUAGAUGAUUGGGGUGAAGUCGUAACAAGGUAGCCGUAUCGGAAGGUGCGGCUGGAUCACCUCCUUUCUAAGGAA